GGUGGUAUAGCUCAGAGGCAGAAUGUGUGCUUAGCAUACAUGAGGUCUUGGGUUCAAUCCCCAGUACCUCCA
Camelus ferus (Wild Bactrian camel) is the source of this 72-nucleotide transfer RNA. It matches the Rfam family "tRNA". Rfam says of the family: Transfer RNA (tRNA) molecules are approximately 80 nucleotides in length. Their secondary structure includes four short double-helical elements and three loops (D, anti-codon, and T loops). Lineage: Eukaryota; Metazoa; Chordata; Mammalia; Artiodactyla; Camelidae. The record is from Rfam.